UACGGGGGGAGCAAGCGUUGUUCGGAUUUACUGGGCGUAAAGGGCGCGUAGGCGGCCAGCACAAGUCAGUUGUGAAAUCUCCGAGCUUAACUCGGAAAGGUCAACUGAUACUGUGCGGCUAGAGUGCGGAAGGGGCAACUGGAAUUCUUGGUGUAGCGGUGAAAUGCGUAGAUAUCAAGAGGAACACCUGCGGCGAAGGCGGCACUCUGGGCCGGUACUGACGCUGAGGAGCGAAAGCGUGGGGAGCAAACAGG
Molecule: ribosomal RNA, 254 nt
Filed under: uncultured bacterium
Lineage: Bacteria
Description: partial 16S ribosomal RNA
Rfam family: Bacterial small subunit ribosomal RNA
Source: RNAcentral